Molecule: ribosomal RNA, 253 nt
Filed under: uncultured bacterium
Lineage: Bacteria
Description: partial 16S ribosomal RNA
Rfam family: Bacterial small subunit ribosomal RNA
Source: RNAcentral
UACGGGGGGGGCAAGCGUUGUUCGGAAUUACUGGGCGUAAAGGGCUCGUAGGCGGCCAACUAAGUCCGACGUGAAAUCCCCAGGCUUAACCUGGGAACUGCGUCGGAUACUGGAUGGCUUGAAUUCGGGAGAGGGAUGCAGAAUUCCAGGUGUAGCGGUGAAAUGCGUAGAUAUCAGGAGGAACACCGGUGGCGAAGGCGGUUCUCUGGGCCUUACCUGACGCUGAGGAGCGAAAGCAUGGGGAGCAAACAGG